UACAGAGGGUGCGGGCGUUAAUCGGAAUUACUGGGCGUAAAGGGUGCGUAGGUGGUUUUGUAAGUUAGGUGUGAAAUUCCUGGGCUUAACCUGGGGACUGCGCCUAAUACUGUAAGACUAGAGUACUGUAGAGGAAAGUGGAAUUUCCGGUGUAGCAGUGAAAUGCGUAGAUAUCGGAAGGAACAUCAGUGGCGAAGGCGACUUUCUGGACAGAUACUGACACUGAGGCACGAAAGCGUGGGGAGCAAACAGG
This 253-nucleotide ribosomal RNA is filed under the name uncultured bacterium. RNAcentral's name for it is "partial 16S ribosomal RNA". It matches the Rfam family "Bacterial small subunit ribosomal RNA", at positions 524 to 776 of the family's 1533-position model. The record is from RNAcentral.